Molecule: non-coding RNA, 1435 nt
Organism: Schizosaccharomyces pombe (fission yeast)
Lineage: Eukaryota; Fungi; Ascomycota; Schizosaccharomycetes; Schizosaccharomycetales; Schizosaccharomycetaceae
Source: the annotation of a GenBank genome assembly
UCACUUAGUAUGUCGUAAUUCAGGAAACAUAACCAUGGUAAAGGAAUUUAAAAGUGAAUAAAAAAUGUGCUUAUUCCGAUAUUCACUUUCUACAAGCAUUAUCAAUUUAUCACUGGGAAGAAAAAAAGGAAUGACAGGAAUUUGAGAAUACGCAUCAAUUGCAGCUUGUUUUAAAGUUGCAGCACUAUUUUCCGACGGAGUUUGAGAAUCCUUCGUUGCUUUUGGAAUUGAAAAAGACCUUUGGUGUGACUUAUUGGUAUUUGCUUUAGUGGGUGACGAGACAGCUGAAGGAAUUAAAGAAAGUAAGUUCUCCCUUGUGCGACUACUUAAAGGGCUACUAUCAGUGGAAAAGACUGGAGUUGAAGUCACCGUUGAUAAUGCUACGGAUGCGUUAGUUUCGCAAAAUGUUGGCUCUACAGAUGUCGAGCCUUUGGACAAAUUGAGCAUAGGGGGUGGAUUUGAAGUAAUCGGUAUUGACUUAAACUUCGAAGGAGAUAAUUCGUAUAAACUUUUUGAGCUAGUAGAAAUACGACGCCUGUAGUUGGACCUUCUAGGAUACGAAGAUUGGCUAAACCUUCGGAAUGUGGUUACAUUCGUCGAUUGCGAACCACCGGACGGAUUCCCUUUAUCCAUAUUAGAAACAGAGGUAAGGAUAUAUUGUUUCCAUUGUCUAUUAACAUUCUUAUCAUAAAAAAUCGUCACAAUGCAGCACAGGGUCAUCGUCUCAGCGACAAAGGCACUUACUAAGGCAAUCCAUGGAUACAAUAAUGUAUAGAAAAAAAACCAGCGAGUCAAAUCUGAAGACGAGACGUUGUCCUUUUGGGAAAACAGUUUAAGGUAAAAUUGAAACCAAGCGGUAGAAAAAUAAGGAACGCCUCUUGUAAUGAGAAGAAUACGAAAUGCAUGCCAAACCCAUCGAACAGCAGUCGUUAUAGAUUCUUUCCAAGGACGACGAGAAGGUUGCAAAAUAGCCUUUGAGAGGUAUAUAAUAAAUUUGUACAUCGUUUCUGGAGAAGAAGCUACUUGAAUAGACUUAUGUAUCUGGACAGCUAAAGCCUCACGUAAAAUCACACAUUCAAUUUCACUUUUAGAGUUAGUAGCUGGAAGGAGGUAUUUCAAUAUGUCUUCCACCAAUAACCUGCAAUAAACGAGUUCAUUUUCCUCUUUCUCUAAAGCAAUAUGGGGAUGGAGACUAUGAUAGAUCGUGUCUAUUUCAAGAAUUUGGCCCUGAGGUAAUGCGAAUCUCAACUUAGCUUCCUCAGUAUUUUCGAUAUGCUUUAUGAGGAGAAAUGGAAUUUCAUAAAAUAGCAAGUCCAUUGCGUCCUGGCGUGAUAAUCGCUUUUCCAGUUCAUGUACGAUUGAUCCGCCAACUUGUUCGCAUUGAGAAGGAAAUAGAGCAUCUUUGCUGAUUCCUGAGUACCAUGAGUAGACAUAU